Molecule: ribosomal RNA, 905 nt
Filed under: uncultured crenarchaeote
Lineage: Archaea; Thermoproteati; Thermoproteota
Description: bacterial SSU rRNA
Rfam family: Archaeal small subunit ribosomal RNA
Source: RNAcentral
UUCCGGUUGAUCCUGCCGGACCUUACUGCUAUCGGGGUGGGACUAAGACAUGCGAGUCGAGCGUCUCUAGCUAUGUUGAGACGCGGCAGACGGCUCAGUAACACGUGGCUAACCUACCGUCAGGACGAGGAUAAACCCGGGAAACUGGGGCUAAUACUCGAUAGGUGAGAAUGUCUGGAAUGACUUCUCAUCCAAAGGGCCUUGGAAACAUGCUUUCAAUGUCGCCUGGGGAUGGGGCCGCGUCCGAUCAGGUUGUUGGUGAGGUAACGGCUCACCAAGCCUAUAACCGGUACGGGCCGUGAGAGCGGUAGCCCGGAGAUGGGUACUGAGACAAGGACCCAGGCCCCACGGGGCGCAGCAGUCGCGAAAACUCCGCAAUGCACGAAAGUGUGACGGGGCUACCCCGAGUGCCAUCCGCUGAGGGUGGCUUUUCUUUGGUAUAACUAGCCAUGGGAAUAAGGAGAGGGCAAGACUGGUGUCAGCCGCCGCGGUAAUACCAGCUCUCCGAGUGGUAGGGAUGAUUAUUGGGCUUAAAGCGUCCGUAGCCGGCUUAGCAAGUCUCCUGUUAAAUUCAGCGACCUAAUCGUUGACCCGCGGGAGAUACUACUAGGCUAGGAGGCGGGAGAGGUCGACGGUACUUCUGGGGUAGGGGUGAAAUCCUAUAAUCCCGGGAGGACCACCAGUGGCGAAGGCUGUCGACUAGAACGCGCUCGACGGUGAGGGACGAAAGCUGGGGGAGCGAACCGGAUUAGAUACCCGGGUAGUCCCAGCCGUAAACGAUGCGAGCUAGGUGUUGGGAUGGCUACGUGCCAUCUCAGUGCCGCAGGGAAGCCAUUAAGCUCGCCGCCUGGGGAGUACGGCCGCAAGGCUGAAACUUAAAGGAAUUGGCGGGGGAGCACCACAAG